Molecule: ribosomal RNA, 47 nt
Filed under: Alternaria sp.
Lineage: Eukaryota; Fungi; Ascomycota; Dothideomycetes; Pleosporales; Pleosporaceae
Description: partial 28S ribosomal RNA
Source: RNAcentral
UUUAGACCUCGGAUCAGGUAGGGAUACCCGCUGAACUUAAGCAUAUC